CCUACGGGUGGCAGCAGUGGGGGAUAUUGGACAAUGGGGGAAACCCUGAUCCAGCGAUGCCGCGUGAGGGAAGAAGGUCCUCGGAUUGUAAACCUCUGUGGAGGGGGACGAAAAUGACGGUACCCCUUUAGGAAGCCACGGCUAACUACGUGCCAGCAGCCGCGGUAAUACGUAGGUGGCGAGCGUUGUCCGGAAUUACUGGGUGUAAAGGGGGUGUAGGCGGGAAAGCAAGUCAGAAGUGAAAGCUAUGGGCUUAACCCAGAGACUGCUUUUGAAACUGUUUGUCUUGAGUGCAGUAGAGGCAGGCGGAAUUCCUAGUGUAGCGGUGAAAUGCGUAGAUAUCAGGAGGAACACCAGUGGCGAAGGCGGCUUGCUGGGCUGCUACUGACGCUGAGGCUCGAAAGCGUGGGGAGCAAACAGGAUUAGAUACCCGAGUAGUC
Molecule: ribosomal RNA, 440 nt
Filed under: uncultured bacterium
Lineage: Bacteria
Description: partial 16S ribosomal RNA
Rfam family: Bacterial small subunit ribosomal RNA
Source: RNAcentral